GACGAACCACACGAACGUUAUUCGGAAUUACUGGGCUUAAAGGGUGCGUAGGCUGUGCGGAAAGUUAGGUGUGAAAGCCCCCGGCUCAACCGGGGAAUUGCGCUUAAAACUACCGUGCUAGAGGAAGACAGAGGUGAGCGGAACUUCGGGUGGAGCGGUGAAAUGCGUUGAUAUCCGAAGGAACACCGGUGGCGAAAGCGGCUCACUGGGUCUUUUCUGACGCUGAUGCACGAAAGCUAGGGGAGCAAACGGG
RNAcentral lists this ribosomal RNA (253 nucleotides) under uncultured bacterium. Its description in RNAcentral is "partial 16S ribosomal RNA". It matches the Rfam family "Bacterial small subunit ribosomal RNA", at positions 524 to 776 of the family's 1533-position model. The record is from RNAcentral.